Molecule: long non-coding RNA, 374 nt
Organism: Dermacentor silvarum
Lineage: Eukaryota; Metazoa; Arthropoda; Arachnida; Ixodida; Ixodidae
Exons: 5
Source: RefSeq, a predicted model, not a curated record
GGGAAACAAAGCCUACGUCCUCAGCUAUAUUGAAGCUGCAAAGAUAAGAGUUGAUGUACUCCUAGUUUGGAGAUUACUGACAUGUUGCAUCGUUACUGGCCAAAAUCUGGAGCUGGGGGUAGGCGAUUACCGUUACACUACCACCACAGGAGACGACCUUCUUGUCCAACUGCUUGCUCUGGCGAUUGUAGUGACCCUUGUUUUCCUGGUGCUACUUAUCGAAGUAUCCUACAAAUUGUUCAUCAUCUGGAGGAUUGAAGCGUAUGCGGCGAAAAUGCCGAACUAGAUGGCGCUGCUCUGAAUAUUUCCUGCCGUUCGUCAUUCGCUUUGUUGUUCACAAAUCUUUUGAUGAUUCUCCUGCUUCAAUGUUCAAG